GACGAACGCUGGCGGCGUGCUUAACACAUGCAAGUCGAACGAUGAUCUCCCGCUUGCGGGGGUGAUUAGUGGCGAACGGGUGAGUAAUACGUGAGUAACCUGCCCUUGACUCUGGGAUAAGCCUGGGAAACCGGGUCUAAUACUGGAUACUACUUCCUGCCGCAUGGUGGGGGGUGGAAAGGGUUUUACUGGUUUUGGAUGGGCUCACGGCCUAUCAGCUUGUUGGUGGAGUAAUGGCUCACCAAGGCGACGACGGGUAGCCGGCCUGAGAGGGUGACCGGCCACACUGGGACUGAGACACGGCCCAGACUCCUACGGGAGGCAGCAGUGGGGAAUAUUGCACAAUGGGCGGAAGCCUGAUGCAGCGACGCCGCGUGAGGGAUGACGGCCUUCGGGAUGUAAACCUCUUUCAGCAGGGAAGAAGCCACAAGUGACGGUACCUGCAGAAGAAGCGCCGGCUAACUACGUG
Molecule: ribosomal RNA, 469 nt
Filed under: uncultured bacterium
Lineage: Bacteria
Description: partial 16S ribosomal RNA
Rfam family: Bacterial small subunit ribosomal RNA
Source: RNAcentral